UACAGAGAUCUCAAGCGUUGUUCGGAUUCAUUGGGCGUAAAGGGUGCGUAGGUGGCGUGGUAAGUCGGGUGUGAAAUUUCGGAGCUUAACUCCGAAACUGCAUUCGAUACUGCCGUGCUUGAGGACUGGAGAGGAGACUGGAAUUUACGGUGUAGCAGUGAAAUGCGUAGAGAUCGUAAGGAAGACCAGUGGCGAAGGCGGGUCUCUGGACAGUUCCUGACACUGAGGCACGAAGGCCAGGGGAGCAAACGGG
Molecule: ribosomal RNA, 253 nt
Filed under: uncultured bacterium
Lineage: Bacteria
Description: partial 16S ribosomal RNA
Rfam family: Bacterial small subunit ribosomal RNA
Source: RNAcentral